UGGGGAAUAUUGCACAAUGGAGGGAACUCUGAUGCAGCGACGCCGCGUGAGUGAUGAAGGAAUUCGUUUCGUAAAACUCUGUUCUAUGGGAAGAAAAGGACUGUACCAUAGGAGAAAGCUCCGGCUAAAUACGUGCCAGCAGCCGCGGCAAUACGUAUGGAGCGAGCGUUGUCCGGAAUUAUUGGGCGUAAAGGGUGCGCAGGCGGCUUUACAAGUUGGAUGUGAAAUAUUGUGGCUCAACCACAAACGUGCAUCCAAAACUGCAAAGCUUGAGUUGAGGAGAGGUAAGUGGAAUUCCUGGUGUAGCGGUGGAAUGCGUAGAUAUCAGGAGGAAUACCGGUGGCGGAAGCGACUUACUGGACUUUAACUGACGCUCAAGCACGAAAGCGUGGGGAGCAAACAGG
RNAcentral lists this ribosomal RNA (404 nucleotides) under Fusobacteriota bacterium. RNAcentral describes it as "Fusobacteria bacterium partial 16S ribosomal RNA". It matches the Rfam family "Bacterial small subunit ribosomal RNA", at positions 355 to 776 of the family's 1533-position model. The record is from RNAcentral. Lineage: Bacteria; Fusobacteriati; Fusobacteriota.